This 1460-nucleotide ribosomal RNA is filed under the name metagenome. RNAcentral's name for it is "bacterial SSU rRNA". It matches the Rfam family "Bacterial small subunit ribosomal RNA". The record is from RNAcentral.
AGAGUUUGAUCCUGGCUCAGAACGAACGCUGGCGGCAGGCUUAACACAUGCAAGUCGAACGAGUAAGAGCCGUAGCAAUACGGAGUUCUGCUAGUGGCGCACGGGUGAGUAACGCGUGGGAAUAUGCCCUUUAGUACGGAAUAACAGUUGGAAACGACUGCUAAUACCGUAUACGCCCUUCGGGGGAAAGAUUUAUCGCUAAAGGAUUAGCCCGCGUGAGAUUAGGUAGUUGGUGGGGUAAUGGCCUACCAAGCCUACGAUCUCUAGCCGGUCUGAGAGGACGAUCGGCCACACUGGAACUGAGACACGGUCCAGACUCCUACGGGAGGCAGCAGUGGGGAAUAUUGGACAAUGGGCGAAAGCCUGAUCCAGCCAUGCCGCGUGAGUGAUGAAGGCCUUAGGGUUGUAAAGCUCUUUUGUCAGGGAAGAUAUUGACGGUACCUGAAGAAUAAGCACCGGCUAACUUCGUGCCAGCAGCCGCGGUAAUACGAAGGGUGCUAGCGUUGUUCGGAAUUACUGGGCGUAAAGCGCGCGCAGGCGGUCUAUCAAGUCAGAGGUGAAAUGCCGAAGCUCAACUUCGGAACUGCCUUUGAAACUGUUAGACUAGAAUAUGGGAGGGGAUAGCGGAAUUCCUAAUGUAGAGGUGAAAUUCGUAGAUAUUAGGAGGAACACCGGUGGCGAAGGCGGCUAUCUGGCCCAUUAUUGACGCUGAGGCGCGAAAGCGUGGGGAUCAAACAGGAUUAGAUACCCUGGUAGUCCACGCUGUAAACGAUGAGUGCUAGCUGUUGGGACCUUAGGUCUCAGUGGCGCAGCUAACGCAUUAAGCACUCCGCCUGGGGAGUACGGUCGCAAGAUUAAAACUCAAAGGAAUUGACGGGGACCCGCACAAGCGGUGGAGCAUGUGGUUUAAUUCGAGGCAACGCGAAGAACCUUACCAGGACUUGACAUGUCCAGUUUGGAUUUCAGAAAUGAUUUCCUUCAGUUUGGCUGGCUGGAACACAGGUGCUGCAUGGCUGUCGUCAGCUCGUGUCGUGAGAUGUUGGGUUAAGUCCCGCAACGAGCGCAACCCUCAUCUUUAGUUGCUACCAUUUAGUUGAGCACUCUAAAGAAACUGCCGGUGAUAAGCCGGAGGAGGGUGGGGAUGACGUCAAGUCUUCAUGGCCCUUAUGUCCUGGGCUACACACGUGCUACAAUGGCAGUGACAAUGCGCCGCUACCUCGCGAGGGGAAGCUAAUCGCAAAAAGCUGUCUCAGUUCGGAUUGUACUCUGCAACUCGAGUACAUGAAGUUGGAAUCGCUAGUAAUCGCGCAUCAGCAUGGCGCGGUGAAUACGUUCCCGGGUCUUGUACACACCGCCCGUCACACCAUGGGAGUUGGUUCUACCUUAAGCUGCUGUGCUAACCGCAAGGAGGCAGGCAACCACGGUAGGGUCAGUGACUGGGGUGAAGUCGCAACAAGGUA